GGGGAAAUGACAAGCCAUUGUUCAAUAUUGACUUAGAGAGAGUAGAAAAAGUUUCAAUGGAACGUCCAUAGGACGUAAGACCGUAGGAGCCGCCUCCCACUUCCUAUAUGGUUACAUGGAUUCUAGGCUAACACGCAGUCCAUCAAUUCACAGUCAAUGCGUGCACGUACUAGUCUAUUAGAUCCAUUGACUGUGAAUGAUUAGAUCCACGCUGAGAAUGGCGGACACGAGAGAAGAGCGGCUGCUGAAGGCAAAAGCAACUUUUAAGAAGAACCUGGACACUUAACAUGCACACUUUCUCAAAGCUAGGGAUGUUAUGACUCGUGACAGUUAUAAAGUUUGUAAUUAUGUCACGUCUGUCGUAUUUGACCGCAAAAAAAGUACUUUUUGCUCGUAGCUAGUUUUGCACAAUGGGAUUUUCAGCCGUUCCUGGAUCUAACCCCACGACCAAAAAGUGACUCUGCGUUCUUCCUGCUUGUAAGAAACUACGAGUUAGGAGGAAGCGUCUGGGGAGAGCAAGAGACCUGGAGGCGGAUGUGUUCUGAGGAUACAACGGGAUUCGCUUUGAACGAGACAACAUGGACAGACCAACCAGUAGCAGACGUGGGAGCCGCAGACUGAGGACGAGACCACUCAAAGGGGAAACUGAGCUCAGAAUAAGGUAAGCAGAAAACCUUUUCUAAAUUUCUGCCACGCUCUGGCGUGUUUUCCCUAUAUUUGAGUGGCCUCGCUCUUAAGGUUUGGUACAUCCCUAUGUUUAAAUUGACAUACACUGAUUAAAGGCAAGAGAAAGUAGGAAAAAAAGUUGUUUGCCGUUCCUUCUUACAAGGACUCUUUUAGAUAAGUUAAAUCCGCAGGGGUCAAAGAGGACUGUUAUAACUUGCGGCGGCUGUUGAGAGGACCCCGCUAGGGGUUCAAGUGGUCGUGAACGUUGAGAAAUCCGCAGGGGUCAAAGAGGACUGUUAUAACUUGCGGCGGCUGUUGAGAGGACCCGGCUAGGGGUUCAUGUGGUCGUGAACGUUGAGAGAGGCCUGGUUUUUUAAUAAAAUAAAAUAAAAUUUAAAACA
RNAcentral lists this long non-coding RNA (1067 nucleotides) under Neogobius melanostomus (round goby). Its description in RNAcentral is "lncRNA (ENSNMLG00000002707.1)". Lineage: Eukaryota; Metazoa; Chordata; Actinopteri; Gobiiformes; Gobiidae. The record is from RNAcentral.